This 891-nucleotide ribosomal RNA is filed under the name Myxobolus honghuensis. Its description in RNAcentral is "SSU rRNA". It matches the Rfam family "Eukaryotic small subunit ribosomal RNA", at positions 304 to 1100 of the family's 1831-position model. Lineage: Eukaryota; Metazoa; Cnidaria; Myxozoa; Bivalvulida; Myxobolidae. The record is from RNAcentral.
UUUCUGCCCUAUCAACUUGUUGGUAAGGUAUUGGCUUACCAAGGUUGCAACGGGUAACGGGGAAUCAGGGUUCGAUUCCGGAGAGGGAGCCUGAAAAACGGCUACCACAUCCAAGGAAGGCAGCAGGCGCGCAAAUUACCCAAUCUAGACAGUAGGAGGUGGUGAAGAGAAGUACCUAGUGGUGGCCUUAAUGGUCCCAACUAGGAAUGAACGUAAUUUAAGCAAUUCGAUGAGUAACUACUGGAGGGCAAGUCCUGGUGCCAGCAGCCGCGGUAAUUCCAGCUCCAGUGGCGUGAUUUAAAGUUGCUGCGUUUAAAACGCUCGUAGUUGGAUCAUGCAAUAACAUGUAGUAACACUGGUUGGUAAAUUUGACGAUUCUCUUCUUGAUUAUUGGAUAAUUAUCGACCAGUGUGUUCAUGCUACAUGUUAUUAUUUGCACACAAGUAUGAUAUUUGGGCUUAAGUGAUUCGAGUAUCAUGUCUUGUGGAGUGUGCCUUGAAUAAAACAGAGUGCUCAAAGCAGGCGAACGCUUGAAUGUUGUAGCAUGGAACGAACAAACGUGUAUUUGUGUAUAUUUGAACGGUCGGUGGCAACACUGACUGUUUGGGUAUAUGCAGCACCCGCCGAAAUGCGAAUGUUGGUUUUCGUAUAAGGUGAUGAUUAAAAGAAGCGGUUGGGGGCAUUGGUAUUUGGCCGCGAGAGGUGAAAUUCUUGGACCGGCCAAGGACUAACAGAUGCGAAGGCGUUUGUCUAGACCGUUUUCAUUAAUCAAGAACGAAAGUGGGAGGUUCGAAGACGAUCAGAUACCGUCCUAGUUCCCACUAUAAACUAUGCCGACCUGGGAUCAGUUUAGUGAUUAACAAGCUCUAGGUUGGGCCCUCAGAGAAACCA